GGGGGGGUGGUGGUGGUGGGGGGUGUGGGGGUGUGGGGGAGGAUGCAAGUUGUAUUAUGAAUUCAACUUAAAUGUUUUUGAAUAGCACUAACUCAGAGGAAACAGUAGGAAGAAAACAAAAUAAAGAGUAGCAGAGGAGAGAACACAGAAUUCUACAGAGGAAAUGUUACUAAGAUUCAUCAAUGCACAGUUGCUCACUUGCAAUAUGGUCCGUCCACUCUGUAUAUUGACAAUGAAACUAGCCCUAGCUAACAGAUUUUCUAAUGCAUUUGAUAAAUGGACUUUAUAUUGGGACAUUUUCCUUGCAUCAAGUCCUACCACCAAAGAACCCGUGUCUUCAAAGGUGGCAUUAAGCUAUUGCUGCAAGUCACGUGUGCUUUUAACUCCUUGCUACUACUGUAAUUAUAAGAUUGCAGUGCAAAGGAAAAUUAUCAGAAUCUGGUAACGCUAAAGCAGCUACCACUGACAUUCUUAGAACUAUUACUAUCAAGAAUGAAAGCUACAGAUUCUUGAUUACAGCUCAUUAUCCUUGAUAAUAUUUUUCCUUUGCGAUGGUCUAUAAGCAUGGAAGGGAUAGAUCCUCGAAUCAUGGAGACUUAACCAAAUUCAAUCACCUCCAAGAAAUUUCCAG
Molecule: unclassified non-coding RNA, 631 nt
Filed under: Hevea brasiliensis (rubber tree)
Lineage: Eukaryota; Viridiplantae; Streptophyta; Magnoliopsida; Malpighiales; Euphorbiaceae
Source: RNAcentral